AGAGUUUGAUCAUGGCUCAGGACGAACGCUGGCGGCGUGCCUAACACAUGCAAGUCGAACGAGAAUUUCAGAGCCGAUCCCUUCGGGGUGAAGCAUUGGAAGGAAAGUGGCGGACGGGCGAGUAACGCGUGAGUAACCUGCCCAUAAGAGGGGAAUAAUCCGUGGAAACGCGGACUAAUACCGCAUAUUGUAAUUUCCCGGCAUCGGGGAAUUAUGAAAGAUUUUAUCGCUUAUGGAUGGACUCGCGUCAGAUUAGAUAGUUGGUGAGGUAACGGCUCACCAAGUCGACGAUCUGUAGCCGAACUGAGAGGUUGAUCGGCCGCAUUGGGACUGAGACACGGCCCAGACUCCUACGGGUGGCAGCAGUGGGGAAUAUUGCGCAAUGGGGGCAACCCUGACGCAGCAACGCCGCGUGCAGGAAGACGGUCUUCGGAUUGUAAACUGUUGUCGCAAGGGAAGAAGAAAGUGACGGUACCUUGUGAGAAAGUCACGGCUAACUACGUGCCAGCAGCCGCGGUAAUACGUAGGUGACAAGCGUUGUCCGGAUUUACUGGGUGUAAAGGGCGCGUAGGCGGACUGUCAAGUCAGUCGUGAAAUACCGGAGCUUAACUCCGGGGCUGCGAUUGAAACUGACAGCCUUGAGUAUCGGAGAGGAAAGCGGAAUUCCCAGUGUAGCGGUGAAAUGCGUAGAUAUUGGGAGGAACACCAGUGGCGAAGGCGGCUUUCUGGACGACAACUGACGCUGAGGCGCGAAAGUGUGGGGAGCAAACAGGAUUAGAUACCCUGGUAGUCCACACCGU
RNAcentral lists this ribosomal RNA (800 nucleotides) under uncultured bacterium. RNAcentral's name for it is "bacterial SSU rRNA". It matches the Rfam family "Bacterial small subunit ribosomal RNA", at positions 8 to 803 of the family's 1533-position model. The record is from RNAcentral.